Long non-coding RNA from Mesocricetus auratus (golden hamster), 1173 nucleotides. RefSeq lists it as uncharacterized. Lineage: Eukaryota; Metazoa; Chordata; Mammalia; Rodentia; Cricetidae. The transcript is spliced from 3 exons. The record is from RefSeq and is a predicted model, not a curated record.
AGGACCAGGAGUCAGUGCUGGGGGCUGGGGAAGGAGGCAGGGAACCCAGAGCAAGAUGGGGCACGGCAGAUGGGGAGAACAGGCAGAGGGGUGACCCCCCUGAGAAUUAUCCACCUGGGAUAGCUGCUCCCUGCUACCGGCUCGGGCAUGCUGAGUAACCGCUGGGGGGGAGACCUCGUUCCGGUUUUUGAUACAAUGUAUUUUGAUCAUAUUUCCCUUCCGGCAGCUUCUCCCCCACUUCCCAAUCGAUCCACCUGUAAAGCCCCUGCCCCUGUGUGGAGGCCAGGCCCCAAUCUCCACGGGUAGCUUAGAUGCCGGUCCACCUUGGUUUUUUGAGACAGGGUUUCUUUCUUGGUGCAAAGCUAAUUCAGCUGGACUGGCCAGCCAGUGAGCCCUAGGCAUCUCCCUGCCUGCCCCUCCCAGCCCUGGGGUUAGAAAGGCACGCCGCCACACCCAGAUUUGAGGCUAAGGAUUCGGAGACAGCCUCACUCAGGAACUCGUAAGACGUUUGCAUCUCAAGCCCCGCCCACACCCACUGAAUCAGAACCUGCCCCUUUCCCCGUGCCCUGGGAGUUACCCAUGUCGCAAAGCACCUCGUUGCCUUUCGUAUGAUCCAGAACUGGAACGGGUGUGGAAGACAUCCGUUAAGUGUCCUCAAUGGCACAGCUAAAGAGACAGGACGUUGUCCUUCUGGGUACAAAGCCUACCGAGCCUACUUCUCUGGGAAGAAAGUGAAUGGAAGAAGCCAUCUGGAGUCUGGCGUCAAGAACUGUAAAAAUAAGUAAAAUUGCCUUAAAUUCCCAAGUAAAAUGUCCCACCGUCCUGCUCCUCACACACGGUUCAUUCUGUACUCGGAAUCCCCUGCCCCCUGAAGUGUGGCAGCUUCUUACAGCAGGCUCGCCCAUGCUGCACCAGGAAGGAACUGGACUAAUGUCCCCGUGAACCUCACCUCAUGCUGUCCCUUAGUGUCCCCUCACUGAGGAGAGGUGAGAUGAUGAUAGAAAGACUCAGGGAGGCACAAAGCUUGGGGAGGAGGAUCCUGGGAAAGCUCGGGCAGCCUGCUGUCUCAGCUGGGCAGAUAGUCAACCAACGGGGAGUGUGCGUGGCAGUGCGGGUGAUCAUGACACCCCAAUCCGUUUUCUAGCCAGCCCUCAGCAGCCAAUGAAGGGCUUG